Molecule: ribosomal RNA, 356 nt
Filed under: Sicyonia dorsalis
Lineage: Eukaryota; Metazoa; Arthropoda; Malacostraca; Decapoda; Sicyoniidae
Description: partial 16S ribosomal RNA
Source: RNAcentral
AUAAUCAUUAGACUUUUAAUUGAAGGCUGGAAUGAAUGGUUGGACAAAAAAUAAGCUGUCUCAGUUAUAAUUAUUGAAUUUAACUUUUAAGUGAAAAGGCUUAAAUAGUCUAAGGGGACGAUAAGACCCUAUAAAGCUUUACGAUUUGUUUAUUAAAUCAAAAAUUGUAAGUAUAAAUUUUAUUUAAUAGACAUUUGUUUCGUUGGGGCGACGAGAAUAAAAUUUAGUAACUGUUCUUUUAGAGUAUAACAAUUAUAAUUGAAGGAAAAUUGAUCCCUUAUUAAGGAUUAAAAAUUUAAGUUACUUUAGGGAUAACAGCGUAAUCUUUUUUGAGAGUCCAUAUCGACAAAAAGGGU